UGCGUAGGCGGAACAAUAAGUCAGUGGUGAAAUCUCCCGGCUCAACCGGGAAACUGCCAUUGAUACUGUUGUUCUUGAGUACAGUUGAAGUGGGCGGAAUGUAUCAUGUAGCGGUGAAAUGCAUAGAUAUGAUACAGAACACCGAUUGCGAAGGCAGCUCACUAAAUUGUAACUGACGCUGAGGCACGAAAGCGUGGGGAGCAAACAGGAUUAGAUACCCUGGUAGUCC
Molecule: ribosomal RNA, 229 nt
Filed under: uncultured bacterium
Lineage: Bacteria
Description: partial 16S ribosomal RNA
Rfam family: Bacterial small subunit ribosomal RNA
Source: RNAcentral